GAGUUUGAUCAUGGCUCAGGAUGAACGCUGGCGGCACGCCUAACACAUGCAAGUCGAACGGGGUUAAUUCGGAAGAAGUUUUCGGAUGGAAUCUGGAUUAACUUAGUGGCGGACGGGUGAGUAACACGUGAGCAAUCUGCCUUUCGGAGGGGGAUACCGUUGGGAAACUAACGUUAAUACCGCAUAACAUAGCGAGACCGCAUGGUCAUGCUAUCAAAGAAUUAUCGCCGAAAGAUGAGCUCGCGUCCGAUUAGAUAGUUGGUGAGGUAACGGCCCACCAAGUCGACGAUCGGUAGCCGGACUGAGAGGUUGAACGGCCACAUUGGGACUGAGACACGGCCCAGACUCCUACGGGAGGCAGCAGUGGGGAAUAUUGCACAAUGGGCGCAAGCCUGAUGCAGCGAUGCCGCGUGAGGGAAGAAGGUUUUCGGAUUGUAAACCUCUGUCUUUGGGGACGAAUAAUGACGGUACCCAAGGAGGAAGCUCCGGCUAACUACGUGCCAGCAGCCGCGGUAAUACGUAGGGAGCAAGCGUUAUCCGGAAUUACUGGGUGUAAAGGGAGUGUAGGCGGGAUUGCAAGUCAGAUGUGAAAAUUAUGGGCUCAACUCAUAACCUGCAUUUGAAACUGUAAUUCUUGAGUGAAGUAGAGGUAAGCGGAAUUCCAUGUGUAGCGGUGAAAUGCGUAGAUAUAUGGAGGAACAUCAGUGGCGAAGGCGGCUUACUGGGCUUUUACUGACGCUGAGGCUCGAAAGCGUGGGGAGCAAACAGGAUUAGAUACCCUGGUAGUCCACGCUGUAAACGAUGAUUACUAGGUGUGGGGGGACUGACCCCUUCCGUGCCGGAGUUAACACAAUAAGUAAUCCACCUGGGGAGUACGGUCGCAAGACUGAAACUCAAAGGAAUUGACGGGGGCCCGCACAAGCAGUGGAGUAUGUGGAUUAAUUCGAUGCAACGCGAAGAACCUUACCAGGUCUUGACAUCUAACGAACCCGUAUGAAAGUAUGGGGUGCCCUUCGGGGAGCGUUAAGACAGGUGGUGCAUGGUUGUCGUCAGCUCGUGUCGCGAGAUGUUGGGUUAAGUCCCGCAACGAGCGCAACCCUUAUGUUUAGUUGCUACGCAAGAGCACUCUAAACAGACUGCCGUUGACAAAACGGAGGAAGGUGGGGAUGAUGUCAAAUCAUCAUGCCCCUUAUGACCUGGGCUUCACACGUACUACAAUGGCUGUUAACAAAGGGAAGCAAGACAGUGAUGUGGAGCGAAACCCAAAAAUAACGUCCCAGUUCGGAUUGCAGGCUGCAACCCGCCUGCAUGAAGCUGGAAUCGCUAGUAAUCGCGGAUCAGAAUGCCGCGGUGAAUACGUUCCCGGGUCUUGUACACACCGCCCGUCACACCAUGGGAGUCGGAAAUGCCCGAAGUCUGUGACCCAACCCCUGGUGGGGAUGACCGGAAGAGAAGGAGGGAUAAGAAAGCAGACGGAGUCUGGUUUCUUAUACUCGCGAAGAAGAGAUAAGGAGAGGUCGUACCCAGCAGGGGGAGGGAGCAGCCGAAGGCAGGUCGGAUGACUGGGGUGAAGUCGUAACAAGGUAAC
Molecule: ribosomal RNA, 1588 nt
Filed under: uncultured bacterium
Lineage: Bacteria
Description: bacterial SSU rRNA
Rfam family: Bacterial small subunit ribosomal RNA
Source: RNAcentral